Molecule: ribosomal RNA, 142 nt
Filed under: uncultured eukaryote
Lineage: Eukaryota
Description: partial 18S ribosomal RNA
Rfam family: Eukaryotic small subunit ribosomal RNA
Source: RNAcentral
UGGUGCAGUGAUGUGUCUGGUUAAUUCCGUUAACGAACGAGACCUCAACCUGCUAAAUAGUCUGGCAAAGUCAUCUGACUUUGUGCAUGACUUCUUAGAGGGACUCUCGGUGUGUAGCCGAAGGAAGCUUGAGGCAAUAACA